This 104-nucleotide small nuclear RNA is filed under the name Propithecus coquereli (Coquerel's sifaka). Lineage: Eukaryota; Metazoa; Chordata; Mammalia; Primates; Indriidae. The record is from RNAcentral.
AUACUCAAUUUUGUAGCACAUGUACUAAAGUUGGAAUGAUACAAAGAUUAAUAUGGCCCUUAUACAAAAAUGACACAAAAAUUGACAAAGCAUUCCAUAUUUUG